CCCCCCGGGAUCAAGCUUGCUUGUCUCAAAGAUUAAGCCAUGCAUGUGUCAGUAUGAACUUUAAAAAAGUGAAACCGCGAAAGGCUCAUUAAAUCAGUUAUGGUUUAUUAGAUCGUACGUUUACAUGGAUAUCUCUGGCAUUUUCUAGAGCUAAUACAUGCAAGUUUUGUGUUGUAAAAGAUACAAAUGCAAUUAUUAGAACAAAACCAAUGAGAUUGGAUGCAUUUCCGUGUGUUUGGUCUCGUUUUUUGUUGACUCUAGAUAGUUUUUUGUGAAUCGAACGGUCUCGUACCGUUGAAGUACCUUUCAAAUGUCUGACUUAUCAACUUUCGAUGGUAGGUUAUAUGCCUACCAUGGUAGUUACGAGUAACGGGGAAUCAGGGUUCGAUUCCGGAGAAGGAGCCUGAGAAACGGCUGCUACAUCCAAGGAAGGCAGCAGGCACGCAAAUUACUCAAUCCCAGUGCGGGGAAGUAGUGACGAUAAAUAACUGGGCAAGUCUCUGUUAGAGAUUGUGCUAUGGCAAUGAGUACAGUUUAAAUUGAUUAACGAGUAUCAAUUGGAGGGCAAGUCUGGUGCCAGCAGCCGCGGUAAUUCCAGCUCCAAAAGCGUAUAUUAAAGUUGUUGCAGUUAAAAAGCUCGUAGUUGGAUUUGGGGUAACGGUAGUAACUUUUUCUUUUUGAAAAAUGUUAUUAGUCCGACCCAGUGUUUGCAGUUUUCCUUCAUUGCACUUUGCUGUGUGAUGUGUGUGAAGCUGAGGCGUUUACUUUGAAAAAAUUAGAGUGCUUAGAGCAAGCGUAUGCUUGAAUAUUGUUGCAUGGGAUAAUGAAAUAGGACCACGGUUCUAUUUUGUUGGUUUUCGGAAACCGAGGAAAUGAUCGAGAGGAACAGCCGAGGGCAUUCGUAUUGUGGCGCUAGAGGUGGAAUUCUUGGACCGCCGCAAGACGAACAACCGCGAAAGCAUUUGCCAAGAAUGUUUUCAUUGAUCAAGAACGAAAGUCAGAGGUUCGAAGGCGAUUAGAUACCGCCGUAGUUUUGACUAUAAACGAUGUCGACUGGUGAUUCGCUUGGUGAAUUUUCGUUUGGCCAAGCGGGCAACCUUCGGGAAACCAAAGUUUUUGGAUUCCGGGGGGAGUAUGGUUGCAAAGCUGAAACUUAAAGGAAUUGACGGAAGGGCACUACCAGGAGUGGAGCCUGCGGCUUAAUUUGACUCAACACGGGGAAACUUACCCGAGCCGGACACUUUAAGGAUUGACAGAUUGAAAGCUCUUUCUUGAUAGAGUGGAUGGUGGUGCAUGGCCGUUCACAGUUGGUGAAGUGAUUUGUCUGGUUAAUUCCGAUAACGAACGAGACUCUAGCCUACUUACUAGUGCUGUCGUGCCUUAUAUUCGCGUGUGUUGGUGAGUUGUAGCCGUUAAAAGCUGCGCUUAUUAAUAUAUUGUGUGUAUAAAGGGCGGCAUGCUGCUGCUUCUUAGAGGAACAAAUGCCUAUUGUGGUAGUCAUAUGAGAGAGAGCAAUAACAGGUCUGUGAUGCCCUUAGAUGUCCGGGGCUGCACGCGCGCUACUCUAAUCGUGUCAGUGUGCUUUGUACUAAUGCGAAAGCAUGAGUUAAUCAUUGAAACUCGUGCGUGAUAGGAAUAGAGAAUUGCAAUUAUUUCUCUUGAACGAGGAAUUCCUAGUAAGUGCAGGUCAUCAACUUGCGUUGAUUACGUCCCUGCCCUUUGUACACACCGCCCGUCGCUACUACCGAUUGAAUGACUUAGCGAGAUUCUCGGACUGAAGUUAAGUGACUCUAACAGGUUAUUUACNNCUUCGGAAAGUUGAUCUAGCUCGGUUAUUUC
Molecule: ribosomal RNA, 1839 nt
Filed under: Nectonema agile
Lineage: Eukaryota; Metazoa; Nematomorpha; Nectonematoida; Nectonematidae
Description: SSU rRNA
Rfam family: Eukaryotic small subunit ribosomal RNA
Source: RNAcentral